GGUCCCUAAUCGGGAUUGCGGACAGUGCCUGGUGGGUAGUUUGACUGGGGCGGUCUCCUCCCAAAGAGUAACGGAGGAGCACGAAGGUGGGCUAAACACGGUUGGACAUCGUGUGGUUAGUGCAAUGGCAUAAGCCCGCUUGACUGCGAGAAUGACAAUUCGAGCAGGUGCGAAAGCAGGUCAUAGUGAUCCGGUGGUUCUGAAUGGAAGGGCCAUCGCUCAACGGAUAAAAGGUACUCCGGGGAUAACAGGCUGAUACCGCCCAAGAGUUCAUAUCGACGGCGGUGUUUGGCACCUCGAUGUCGGCUCAUCACAUCCUGGGGCUGAAGUCGGUCCCAAGGGUAUGGCUGUUCGCCAUUUAAAGUGGUACGCGAGCUGGGUUUAGAACGUCGUGAGACAGUUCGGUCCCUAUCUGCCGUGGGCGUUGGAAGAUUGAAGGGGGCUGCUCCUAGUACGAGAGGACCGGAGUGGACGAACCUCUGGUGUUCGGGUUGUCAUGCCAAUGGCAUUGCCCGGUAGCUAAGUUCGGAAUCGAUAAGCGCUGAAAGCAUCUAAGCGCGAAGCGAGCCCUGAGAUGAGUCUUCCCUGGCACUUUAAGUGUCCUAAAGGGUUGUUCGAGACUAGAACGUUGAUAGGCAGGGUGUGUAAGUGCUG
RNAcentral lists this ribosomal RNA (654 nucleotides) under Vibrio sp. B1Z05. RNAcentral's name for it is "partial 23S ribosomal RNA". It matches the Rfam family "Bacterial large subunit ribosomal RNA", at positions 2230 to 2878 of the family's 2925-position model. The record is from RNAcentral. Lineage: Bacteria; Pseudomonadati; Pseudomonadota; Gammaproteobacteria; Vibrionales; Vibrionaceae.